This 3350-nucleotide long non-coding RNA is filed under the name Cicer arietinum (chickpea). RNAcentral's name for it is "long non-coding RNA (CARI_LNC001478)". The record is from RNAcentral. Lineage: Eukaryota; Viridiplantae; Streptophyta; Magnoliopsida; Fabales; Fabaceae.
UUGGUGCUAUAAUUUAGUGUGAAGUUCAUUAUAAUCAAUCUGCUUAAAAGAAGCAAAACAAAACUCAGUUUCACCCUUCUGUAACUCAGUUCAGUAGUGACUAUUCUACCUCAGCGACUUGUAGGUUUUCAAGUUGGAAGUUGAGAAAACUUUACUUGUAGGGUCAAUGUGUUGUAGUGCCUCAACGGUCUGUACGUUUCAUGCUGGAAGUUGAGAAGACUGACUUGUAGGGUUAGAUGUUGUAAUUCAUGUUUUGAAUUAGUGGAUAAAUCAUAUUGUGUGAGUUGACUGGACAUAUCUACCACGUUGGUAGUGAACCGUUAUAACUUCUUUGUGAUUCUCCAUUCCCUCUGCUUUGUUUUCUUUCCAAUGCUUAUAUCGCUGAAUCAAAUUUUAAGAAAAGAAAUAAUUUUUAAAUAAAGGAAAAUACAAUUUAACCCCCUUAUUGUAUUUUUGCACUUUCAACUUAAAACUAUGAAUAUUCAUUUACCAUAUGUUAUAGUAAAUGUUUAUCCUCUUCUUCGAUGCUUGAGUUUAAUAUCAUAAAAGCUUUUAAUUUUCGAUGUCGCUCUUGGACUAGUCCUUCAAUUGUUGAGGUGGUAUGACACCUUUCCAACUGUGGUUGAAUAAAAUGUAAUUAUCAUGGGGUUGAUAGAGGUACUUCUAGUCUUGCUACUUGUGGGGGUACUUUAGAGAUUUUAAUAUUGUCACCCUUAGUUGUUUUGGUCUCCUUUAUUAAGAUUUUAAUAUAGCUAUAUUUUUAGUGAUUUUUUUUUUCUUUUUACCUUUUAUAAUUCAUAUUAUUUAAUAUUACUAUGUAGAACAUCAUUAUUUUUUAUAGAUGAAAAUAAAAUUUCAUGAAAUUAAAAUAAUAAUCAAUACAUCUCAAAAUAUGUUAUUUUUUUGUUAUAAUUAGGAGCAACAAAAAUUUCAAAUGUUUUCUUAUAUAUUAGAGGUAGCAUUCGUCAUUGCAUUUUUUUACUUUAGUAUUUGAUAUACUUCAUUCAUGUUUAAAUUAUUUUUCUUCAUUAAUUAUUUUUCAAAUUAAAAUUAGAUAUUAGAAGUAUUUAUGUUUAGUCCUUAGUAUUGAUUUUUUUUAGUAGAGAUAUGUGUAUAUCCUACUAUGUUAUUGCUAAAUGAUUUUACAAUAUAUAUUAAUUUACUAUAUAUUUAGUGAAUAAUUUAACAGUAUUUCUUUUUCCCUUUUAUAAGUCAUACUUUAUCUGGUCUUAAUUUUAAGAGAAUUUAAGAGAUUAAUUUGGUUGAAUUUACAAGAAAAAAAAAUAGUAUUUAAAAAUAUUUAUAUUUUAAAUAACUUUUUUAUCAUCAUUGAAAACAUUUGUCUACAGACAAAAAAAAGUGUCUUUUUUAAAAUAAUUAAAUUACAUAUUUUCUAUAAAACUAUAAUUGGAAAAACAAUCAAAGUGACAACAAAUUUCAAUAGUUUUGAUUUUUUUUUUGUUUCUCCUUAAAAUUGAGACUAGAGAAGCAUAAAAAUAUAACUUCUCGUAAAUACACAUUUGACAUUACUAUUUUUUGAAAAAUGUUUGACAACCAUUAAUUGUUGCACUAUAUUUAGUUCCUAUAAAAUUUGAAUAUUUUAUUUUUAGUUCAAAUAAUUUUUUUUUUAACAUUUAGUCUCUAGAUAUUUUUUGAUUUUAUUUUUUGUCUUUAUUUUUAAGUUAAAUUAUGUGUUUCUUUUAAAUUUUUAAUUAUUUUUUAUACGUAUGUUUAUAAUAUUACAAGAAUCUCUCCCACAAAAUUAAUUAAAUGUAAGUAUUAGACCAAGGCUAAAGCAUAACGAGUGUGAGAAUAAGCAAUUUGGUUGAAAAAUUGUGAGACACUAAUCCUAUACAAUAGUUAAAUGCUAUUUUCACUAUUUUGUUGAGAUACACCAUGUAGUUCAAGUCAUAGCUCUUAUUUUUAAAUUUUGUUCAUCACAUAUCAAUUUGUACCAACUCUUUAUUAACUAUGACAUAAUCUCAACAAAAUGACUCCAAAUGUGUGGCACUCAAGUCUAGGUACCAUUAAAUGACUCCACAUUUCAACAAUAAAAAAUCAAUCAUAUAGUUAUAUGAAACAAUUAUGAGAAACAUGUAAAACGAUGAUAGAUGACAAAUUUUGAACUAGAGUAAGGUCACCACAUUUUAAAACGUUUAUAAGAUUAUACAUAAGUGAAGCAUAUCAAAAGGAUGAAUCAAUUAAAACAAGUCAACAAUAUAAAAACUAGAGUAAGGUUGAUUUGACAAGUGAAAAUAAUGCAUCUUAGUGUCUUUACUUCCCAUUAACCUUUGUCACAUUACCACUCCAAAACAACCUUAGUCUCAUUAGAAAAGAGUUGUACGUACAAAAUAGCAUACUUUUUGACAUGUUCAAUAAUUCUGACAUACAUAAUUACUAUCUCAAUAAACAAAUAUAUAAAUAUAAACUUGAGAUAGUAAAAAUGAGCGAUUUAUUACAACAAAUCUCAAGAUGUAGGCUUCUUGAGCAAACUCUGAGUUUAUGAAGUUACAUGCUCAAAUUUCAGAACUUAAAUGGAAUUCACAAAAUCUACCCACAAUAAGAAAUUGAAACCUAUUUAAUAUCAUUGAUAUAAAGAGUGAAUCAUAAAACCCAAUUAUGAAAGAAAAAAAGGUAAAAGUUAGAAUAAAUUUAAUUUUUAUUAAUGAUUUUUACAUCAUUAAUUAACUAGAAGAUCUAAUAAACUACGUAAUCUUCAUAAGAGAUAUUUGAGAAAUUGGAAGAAAAAUGAAAGAGAAUGUGUGAAAAUUAGCUUUUAGAGAGGAGGCUUCAAUGUACAAAUAAUUUCCAGAUCCUGUGUAUGUUUCAUCAAAUGCCGGAAACUUAGAUUUUGAAUUGUUUGUCGAGAAUGAAUUCUAUACAAAAUGCUCACAAUAUUCAUAACUCUUAACUCAAUGUUUAUUGCUUUAUAUGAAGCGUGAGUUCAAUUUCAACUUCAAAUGUGAAGAAAAAGACAUAAUUCUAAAGCUCCAAGUUAUUAUAGCAUAAUGAAAAGUAAAUUAAAAAGUAAAAGGUUUUGAGAAUGUAACCUAGAUUCUUCAAUUGGAAUCCAAGUCUAGCGUCUACGAUAAGAAGGGCCGUAGUUGACGACAUUUGUUCAAUUGGAAUGCAACACCUAUGGAAGUGUUGUCAUUGCAAUCGACAGUUGCGAAACAGUUCUACAAGCGAAAAGAUAUUGCGAGAGGGUUUUCUGUGAGGGAGAUAUUGCGAGAGGGUUUUCGCCCCAAAUAGCACACAUUUAACAAUUUUUUUGUAGCUUUAUCACAAGUGUAUAACAAGGGUUUGAGUUUUAUUUUUGUUUGCUUGAAAUAGUUUAAGGUUUCUAAAAU